Molecule: long non-coding RNA, 1115 nt
Organism: Macaca mulatta (Rhesus monkey)
Lineage: Eukaryota; Metazoa; Chordata; Mammalia; Primates; Cercopithecidae
Source: RefSeq, a predicted model, not a curated record
GCUGGGUCCCGCCCCUUCUUCCGGCUGGGUUCCACUACCUGUAAGGCUGGAACUGACAGCCACUGUGCAAACAAAAAAAGGCAACAAGCAUGCUGGGACCAUUCUGUCUGCUGUUUGGGUCUCACUUGCCCUGACAACUAAAAAUCAUCAGUGGAAAGGCAUAGAAUGGUGGAUGAUUUCAUCUGGAUAUUUAGAUCACAAAGAGAUCAAGACAGACACUGAUAUUUGACCCAGGAUAGAAGAAAGGCCAUGAGGAGGCCUUAGACCUCAGCAAACCGUUUCCAUCUUACUGCCAUAUUCUUACAUGAACAGGAAAGCACACCACAGAUGAACCAUGCUUUUCGACGAAAUUCAACUCUGAAAUACACGGUAGCUCAUGUGCGAACGGCCCAAACGGAGAAUCAAUGUUCCUGUACCUUUGGUGCUGGGUCUAUGUGAUACCUGAAGUUUCAUGGCAUUUUAUUAAUUUCUAUUUGAAAACUAAAAGUGCACCCUGCUCUGCUAAAAGGCACAGAAAACAUACAGAAUGUAAACUGAGAACAUGGCAUGCCACAGAAAAUAUAAACAGAAAACCCUGACUUAGACAGACAUGUAAAAACUAGAGCAUUUUACAGACAUGCCCACUACCUGGCCAAACUGGAUUCAAGAAUUUGGAAGCGCAUAUUGGAAAUAAGCGAGGUUUCCUUACAAGUCAGUUGAUGAGAUAUCUGACUUCGAGAAUGUUUAAGCAAAUAUGAAAGCUCAAGGAAUUGCAAUAUUGAGAUUUCUGAAAAUAUGAUUGGAUCCAGAAAUGGAUGAGAGAUUGCCUUGAAGAUUAAGUGAUUUAAUCACAGCAAUCUGGCUACCUUUGUGGAGAGACUGCGUGGAAAGGCCAGAUGAUGAGGCAAUAAUUUGAUCCAACUUGGACAGAAAAGCCCAGCCUGAGAGCGGACCCCAGCUUUCAAGAUAUCUACCACCUAGAAAAAAAGGAUGUCAACUGCUUCUGCAUACACCACAAGAUCACCAAGGUCUGGAAGAAACACACAACUUUCUCUGCAGCAAGUAAGCAGCAGAAUGGCAGAACUCCGACCUGCCUGCUUCCUACCCUUAAUAAGAAUCCCCCGCCUUGGUAAAAG